GGCAUGGUGCCAAAAAAUUGUGCAAAAAAAUAGCAACCGUGAAAGGACAGUCUAUUCUCCUUCACUGGCUGAGGGAUAUAGUUAACCAUUUCUGGUGGUGCUGCAAGACGGCAGAAACAUUUGAGCAGUUUCUUGCACUUUGGAUUGGAGUUCUGCAUCAUGUUUGCAACAAUCACACCUGGGAAACAGGAAGCUGCCAACACGACCACCUUGAAGACACUCAGGAUAAAGAGUGGAUUGAGA
Pimephales promelas (fathead minnow) is the source of this 243-nucleotide non-coding RNA. The record is from RefSeq and is a predicted model, not a curated record. NCBI's taxonomy places the organism in Eukaryota, Metazoa, Chordata, Actinopteri, Cypriniformes, Leuciscidae.